AUCUUUAUUUUCUUUUUAUUACCACAUGCAUAAAGUGUCAACAGUCUGGGAUUAUGUUGUACAACAUUUUUUAACAAAUGUAGUUACAAGCAGGUUUCAAAUCUUUACAGUUUUCCUCUAUAGAUUGUACAGAAGAAAAUUCAUUUUGCAACCAUAUGGUUCAUACCUUUCUUUGAUAGCAUCAAGACAGGUAGAACUCACAACACUGAGAAAAAUACACUUGCUUACAUUUAGUAACUAUGUACAGUAGAUAGAUAGAAGCAGCAACACAUACUGAGCUAUUGACUAAGUGCACAUAGUUAAAAGACCCCUUUAGACAGUGAACAUCUCUUUUAUGUCAACUAUAUAAUAAUGCAAAUCAGUAAUCAAGACAUAUCUUGAAGCAUGUGCAAACUCACAAGGUGGAGAUAACUGUUUCUCCUGUUAAUCACUUUUACCAAAAGGAAAUUCAAUUAAAAAAAUAAUACUUAAGUUUUAAAAAGUAAAAACCAUUAUGUGAGCCUACGAGACGCCGACAUGGGAUCUCCCAUUUUGCUCGGUCUAGUGGAUGUCCCAAUAACCCAAUGUAUGCAGAACCAGUGUGCCAACUGUAUGGUUCAAGUUAGAUGAGCCUUCUUCACACACUGGUCUGGUGUGUAAUACAUCCCUUACUUGCUGCCAUCCCAUUCUUUUACUUGCUGAGAUCACACCCAGAACCACUCUUACGGAACAAAAGGGAAGCAUCUUGCUUGUGAUGGAAAAUCUACAGUCCCAUUUCAUAUUCAGCGUGGCUACAACUCACACCUGCACACUGAGCUUCCUCUGGCAAAGCUAAACAAACAUGGAGGGACACUUUGUGUACACAGAUGCACAAGAGCUGGGAAGAGCAAACAGAAGCCCCCACCCCCCUUUGCACACCGUCACAGGGACCAGCUACAAUGGACAUCCUUAUGCUCUCCCAAAUAUAUCCUAGGUUCCCUGCCCCUCACUACGCUGCCAGGAGCCUGUCUCUCACAGGAGGUACAGGGUGUGUGAUGCUCCUAGUCCAGGGGUAUGCUGAGGCCUCCAGGAGCUCCCUCUCCGGCAAUGCACUUUUGCACCACCCCCUUCUGCAAGGCCCAGUGUACCAGGACAAUUUAGCCCUUAGUAGUAGUUCUUAGAGGAUAAAAGGGACUCUUGAAUUAUACUCCAGAGCCCAGAGGUCUAGAAAUGCUCCCAAUUCUGCCAUCUCUGGGGAUGUGGCCAGGAGAGACACAGACCAACUGAAAGAUAUGUCAUUAUCCACCAUUCAGAGAAGUAGUUUAAUAACUGACCUAGCGAUCAAGCUACUGGACUGUAACUAAGGGCCAGAUUGGAGCUCUGUUUUCGCACAGCCCUGACUCAGGGAAAGCUCCCUCCGACAGCAGUCGAAGUUUGGCCCAAGUGAGGACUCUGUAUAAGUGUUCAAUAACAAUUCAUGAAGAGCCAGUGAUUGCAGAUGUAAGCAUGACCUUACAGUGUGAAACGAAGACCCAUGCAAAUCAUUUCCUGUACCCCCCAAGCACUCCACUCAGGAGCCAGUCUCCCCUUGCAAGGGCUGGUAGCAUCUCAAACUCCCCAGAGCAGAGCAGAGGACACUCAUCAGAGGGCAGCGGCAGGGGGGAGAAGGGAUCGGAAUGGGUGCCCCAGCAGGGCCAGGAAAGAGGCCUGGUUAAUAUGCUCUUGUUUGGGAUUUGCCUCUCUGCACACACAGAACCAUACUGAUCUGGGGACUUUACCAGAGAUUUUCCUUCUUUUCCGAAGUUUUGCAGUGUACCUGUAAGAAAUACAGUCUCGCUGCCAGAGUUGGUGAAUCCCUCCAAGUGUCCAGUCCUGGGAUGGCCCGUACUCAUUUUUUAUUCAGUCCCCAUUUGGUUGUACCAGAAGAAUAAACAACACAGCCCCUCCCCCA
RNAcentral lists this long non-coding RNA (1909 nucleotides) under Chrysemys picta bellii (western painted turtle). Its description in RNAcentral is "lncRNA (ENSCPBG00000014862.1)". Lineage: Eukaryota; Metazoa; Chordata; Testudines; Emydidae. The record is from RNAcentral.